GAUGGGGACUGGUAUCCCCCUGUAGUCUCAGCUACCCAGGAGGCUGAGGGGGGCAGAUCAGUUGAGCCCAGGAGUUCUGCACAAUAGUGUGCUGUGUUGAGUUGUCUGCACUAAGUUCAGCAUCAAUAUGGUGACCUCCGGGGGCUGAGGGACCACCAGGGUGCCCAAGGAGGGCUGAACCGGCCCAGGUCAGAAACAGAGCAGGUCAAAAGUGUCCUGCUCAUCAGUGGAGAGACUGCGCCUGUGAAUAGCCACUGCGCUCCAGCCUGGGCAACAUAGCACGACCUCAUCUCC
Unclassified non-coding RNA from Nomascus leucogenys (northern white-cheeked gibbon), 294 nucleotides. It matches the Rfam family "Metazoan signal recognition particle RNA". From Rfam's summary of the family: The signal recognition particle (SRP) is a universally conserved ribonucleoprotein. The record is from Ensembl. NCBI's taxonomy places the organism in Eukaryota, Metazoa, Chordata, Mammalia, Primates, Hylobatidae.